ACUGCUGGUUUUGUGUGUGUGUGUGUGUGAUUUAAAAUUACAUUCAGUCAACUCUAUAGCCCUAUGGGCUUUUUGAAUAACCAAAUGCUCAACAGUUCUGUAAUCUUUCAGGUUGCUGUGAUCAGUCCCCAAGGAGUCUACACUCUCAAAGAGACUGGGAAAGGCCUGUGAGACAAUGGGAUUCUUUUUUCUAGAGGUGUAACUCUGCCUGUGUUUGCAUGCCACCUCCAGAACCACUAAAAUAUAAUUUCUCAGUGGGUGACUGAGUAAGACUGGCAGCAAUUGCAAAAGCAGAUUCAUGCCAUGUGUCACUCUUCACAGUCAGGAACUUAUUUACCUCUUGGAACUUUCCAAAGGAACGAUGAUGGUGGCGGUAAUGUCACAUUAGUAUGGAGCCCUUAAAUUCAGCAGUGUUCAACCUGAGGGAAGACAGAGGCCAUGCUGGAUAAGGAGCUGGCUGCCUCUGUGAACAUCCUACUCAAGGCAUCUUCACUGCUGUACAUCCUUUUGAAAUCCCAGAGAUCUUCAGUCUCCCUGUGGAUUAAGGAGAUGUGCAGUAUUUAAAGUGGCUUCAGGAAGGCAUGGAAGAGGACUGAGUGGGGAAAGCUUUUUGUGCAUGCUGCUGGCUACCUCCAGCGGCUGCCUCCAGCCUCCAUCAGCUGCACUCUGGGGAAGAGGAGGCUGCCUUCUACCUCCCAGCAUCUCUGGAUUUCAUGUUCCUGUCAGCACAGAGGAGCUAAAUGGCCU
This 747-nucleotide long non-coding RNA is filed under the name Homo sapiens (human). RNAcentral's name for it is "non-protein coding lnc-B3GNT10-21:23". The record is from RNAcentral. Lineage: Eukaryota; Metazoa; Chordata; Mammalia; Primates; Hominidae.